GCAUUUUGCUCAGUUGGUAGAGUACGAGACUCUUAAUCUCAGGGUCAUGGGUCUGAGCCCCACAUUGGGCA
RNAcentral lists this transfer RNA (71 nucleotides) under Podarcis lilfordi (Lilford's wall lizard). RNAcentral's name for it is "tRNA.Lys". It matches the Rfam family "tRNA". From Rfam's summary of the family: Transfer RNA (tRNA) molecules are approximately 80 nucleotides in length. Their secondary structure includes four short double-helical elements and three loops (D, anti-codon, and T loops). Further hydrogen bonds mediate the characteristic L-shaped molecular structure. tRNAs have two regions of fundamental functional importance: the anti-codon, which is responsible for specific mRNA codon recognition, and the 3' end, to which the tRNAs corresponding amino acid is attached (by aminoacyl-tRNA synthetases). tRNAs cope with the degeneracy of the genetic code in two manners: having more than one tRNA (with a specific anti-codon) for a particular amino acid; and 'wobble' base-pairing, i.e. permitting non-standard base-pairing at the 3rd anti-codon position. Lineage: Eukaryota; Metazoa; Chordata; Lepidosauria; Squamata; Lacertidae. The record is from RNAcentral.